AACGAACGCUGGCGGCAUGCCUAACACAUGCAGGUCGAACGAGACCUUCGGGUCUAGUGGCGCACGGGUGCGUAACGCGUUGGAACCUGCCCUUAGGUUCGGAAUAACUCCCCGAAAGGGGUGCUAAUACCGGAUAAUGUCUUCGGACCAAAGAUUUAUCGCCUUUGGAUGGGCCCGCGUUGGAUUAGCUAGUUGGUAGGGUAAAAGCCUACCAAGGCGACGAUCCAUAGCUGGUCUGAGAGGAUGAUCAGCCACACUGGGACUGAGACACGGCCCAGAAUCCUACGGGAGGCAGCAGUGGGGAAUAUUGGACAAUGGGCGAAAGCCUGAUCAAGCAAUGCCGGGUGAGUGAUGAAGGCCUUAGGGUUGUAAAGCUCUUUUACCCGGGAUGAUAAUGACAGUACCGGGAGAAUAAGCUCCGGCUAACUCCGUG
This 433-nucleotide ribosomal RNA is filed under the name uncultured bacterium. RNAcentral's name for it is "partial 16S ribosomal RNA". It matches the Rfam family "Bacterial small subunit ribosomal RNA", at positions 29 to 507 of the family's 1533-position model. The record is from RNAcentral.